UGAACGCUGGCGGCGUGCUUAACACAUGCAAGUCGAACGGUAACAGGAAAGAGCUUGCUCUUUUGCUGACGAGUGGCGCACGGGUGAGUAAUAUAUAGAUAACGUGCCUCUUAGUCUGGGAUAGCCAUUGGAAACGAUGAUUAAUACUAGAUACUCCUUCUUAUUCUAAUUUAAGUCGGGAAAGUUUUUCGCUAAGAGAUCGGUCUAUAUCCUAUCAGUUAGUUGGUGAGGUAAUGGCUCACCAAGGCAAUGACAGGUAGCGGGUUUGAGAGGAUGAUCCGCCACACUGGUACUGAGACACGGACCAGACUCCUACGGGAGGCAGCAGUGAGGAAUAUUGCACAAUGGGGGAAACCCUGAUGCAGCAACGCCGCGUGGAGGAUGACGCAUUUCGGUGUGUAAACUCCUUUUAUGAGUCAAGAAAAUGACGGUAGCUCAUGAAUAAGCACCGGCUAACUCC
RNAcentral lists this ribosomal RNA (460 nucleotides) under uncultured bacterium. Its description in RNAcentral is "bacterial SSU rRNA". It matches the Rfam family "Bacterial small subunit ribosomal RNA", at positions 30 to 504 of the family's 1533-position model. The record is from RNAcentral.